GGAGAUGAAUCCGGACCUGGUGGCCGGCGCGGACUUCAAAUCCGUCAGUGAGGCGGCAGCCCCGCCUUUGGUGCGUUCGAUUCGCACUCAUCUUCGCCA
Molecule: transfer RNA, 99 nt
Filed under: Lachnospiraceae bacterium
Lineage: Bacteria; Bacillati; Bacillota; Clostridia; Lachnospirales; Lachnospiraceae
Description: tRNA-Sec
Rfam family: Selenocysteine transfer RNA
Source: RNAcentral